Molecule: long non-coding RNA, 170 nt
Organism: Ananas comosus (pineapple)
Lineage: Eukaryota; Viridiplantae; Streptophyta; Magnoliopsida; Poales; Bromeliaceae
Exons: 3
Source: RefSeq, a predicted model, not a curated record
ACUCUUGGAGUAACUUCAACUGAUUCGUGAAAGCUCUUGAAGACUCAACUUGAGAUCCAGAGACCGUUUGAGCUGAGUUCGAGCUUCGGUUGGACUGUUUUGAACUUAGUGAUAGAGCCAUCUACAGGAGAGGCUAGGGAUCGAGGCAAGGGAGUCGCAUCUAGCUAGAC